CCUACGGGUGGCAGCAGUAGGGAAUUUUUCACAAUGGGCGAAAGCCUGAUGGAGCAAUGCCGCGUGAAUGAAGAAGGUCUUAUAGAUUGUAAAAUUCUUUUAUUUGGGAAGAAAAACUUAAGUAGUAAAUAACUUUAGUCUGACUGUACCAUAUGAAUAAGUAUCGGCUAACUAUGUGCCAGCAGCCGCGGUAAUACAUAGGAUGUAAGCGUUAUCCGGAUUUAUUGGGCGUAAACCGAGCGAAGGGGGGUUAACAAGUUUGGUAAGAAAGGCUUUUGCUUAACGAAAGUUUGUAUCAAAAACGGUUAAUCUAGAGUGGAGUAGAGAGUGCGGGAAUUCCAGGUGGAGCGGUGGAAG
This 357-nucleotide ribosomal RNA is filed under the name uncultured bacterium. Its description in RNAcentral is "partial 16S ribosomal RNA". It matches the Rfam family "Bacterial small subunit ribosomal RNA", at positions 338 to 687 of the family's 1533-position model. The record is from RNAcentral.